GUUCUUAUAGUUUAAUCUAAAACAACGAUUUUGUAAAUCGUUAAUAAAUACUAAUUUUAAGAAUU
RNAcentral lists this transfer RNA (65 nucleotides) under Diplectrona hexapetala (nom. nud.). RNAcentral describes it as "tRNA-Thr". It matches the Rfam family "tRNA". From Rfam's summary of the family: Transfer RNA (tRNA) molecules are approximately 80 nucleotides in length. Their secondary structure includes four short double-helical elements and three loops (D, anti-codon, and T loops). Further hydrogen bonds mediate the characteristic L-shaped molecular structure. tRNAs have two regions of fundamental functional importance: the anti-codon, which is responsible for specific mRNA codon recognition, and the 3' end, to which the tRNAs corresponding amino acid is attached (by aminoacyl-tRNA synthetases). tRNAs cope with the degeneracy of the genetic code in two manners: having more than one tRNA (with a specific anti-codon) for a particular amino acid; and 'wobble' base-pairing, i.e. permitting non-standard base-pairing at the 3rd anti-codon position. Lineage: Eukaryota; Metazoa; Arthropoda; Insecta; Trichoptera; Hydropsychidae. The record is from RNAcentral.